Molecule: non-coding RNA, 124 nt
Filed under: Monopterus albus (swamp eel)
Lineage: Eukaryota; Metazoa; Chordata; Actinopteri; Synbranchiformes; Synbranchidae
Source: RNAcentral
GGGGUGAAUAAAAAGGGGGUUAGCACUCCCCUUGACAAGGAUGUAAGUGGCCCCUGUCGCCUGCAACACACAUAUGGUUAAGGCAUUGCCACCUACUUCGUGGCAUCUCUAACCAUGUUUUUUU